CAAGACAGGUCAAGGCUUCACGGUGAGUUCUAGGUUCUGAAUCUGGAUCUUCCACAACCUUAUCAAAAUGUUCUUCAAGGUAGACAAAAUGUUCUAGGUAAAGAGGUGGUCUACUGACUCGGUUACUUUGUCUUGGUUCAGGUAAAUGUUCACUUUCUUUAGGGAGUUCAAAAACAGGUUGGGUUGGUUUAGAAGUUUUAGGUUCAGGGUCUCAAACUACAUCCUUGUUUUUAGCCUCAUCAUAAAAGUUGGCUUGUUUUCUACUCACCCUUGCUUCAAGGACCUCUUCCUCAAAGAAGUGAGCAUCACG
RNAcentral lists this long non-coding RNA (310 nucleotides) under Amborella trichopoda. RNAcentral describes it as "long non-coding RNA (ATRI_LNC001320)". The record is from RNAcentral. Lineage: Eukaryota; Viridiplantae; Streptophyta; Magnoliopsida; Amborellales; Amborellaceae.